GGGGAGCUGGGGCAGGUAGGGGUGUGAGGGACCAGACCAAGGAGUUCUGGGAGAACUGGGGCAGGUAGGGGUGUGAGGAACCAAGCCCAGCAUCUAGAAUGGGAUUAGAGCAGGUGACGUUUGAGAGGCUAGAGGAAGCAGCUACAGAGGGGCUGGUGCAGAUGGGAGUUCGGGAUGCCAGGCCAAACAGCCCCAGGAAAGCAGAUGGGCAUUUUAGGCUGGCAGUGAGAGGUACCACGCCAGGCAGCUUCCAAUGAGAAAGUACUAGUGGUCGUGUGGAGGGCUAAACCAAGCAGCUAUUGGAUAACUGGUUAGUAGGGGUGUGAGGGACCAGGUCAAGCAGUUCCAGGAGAUCUGGGGCUGAUAGAGGUGUGGGGGAUUGGGCUGAAAAGCUACACAGCAUCUGGAGCAGGUGGAGUUGAUGGUGGUCCAGGAGCUCAAGGACCAAGAUAACCCUGGGGCAGCCACAACAACAGCCCCAUCUGUCUAUCCACUGGCUCCUGGAUGUGGAGGCACAUCUGGCUCCACAGUGACCCUGGGAUGCCUGGUCAAGGGCUAUUUCCCCGAGCCGGCAACCGUAACCUGGAACUCUGGAUCCCUGACCAGCGGUGUGCACAUCUUCCCAUCCGUCCUGCAUUCUGGUCUCUACUCCCUCAGCAGCUCAGUGACUGUGUCCUCCAGCACCUGGCCCAGCCAGUCCGUCGUCUGCAACGUAGCCCACCCGGCCAGCAAAACCAAGGUGGACAGGAAAAUUGAGCCCAGAAAAAUACCAGAUCCAUGUGAUGGGUGCAAGUGUCCAUCUCCUGAUCUCUCGGGUGGACCAUCCGUCUUCAUCUUCCCCCCAAAGCCCAAGGAUGUGCUCAUGGUCUCCCUGGCCCCCAAGAUCACGUGUGUGGUGAUAGACGUGAGCGAGGAUGACCCAAAUGUCCAGUUCAGCUGGUUCGUGAAUGAUAAAGAAGAGCGCACAGCUCAGACGCAGACCCACGAGGAGCAGUACAACAGUACCUUGCGUGUGGUCAGUGUCCUCCCCAUCCAGCACCAGGACUGGAUGAGUGGCAAGGAGUUCAAAUGCAAGGUCAACAACAAAGCCCUCCCAAGCCCCGUCGAGAGAACCAUCUCAAAACCCAAAGGGCAAGUCCGAAUGCCAGAGGUAUACACAUUUGCUCCACCUGUGGAACAGAUGACCAAAACAGAGGUCAGCUUGACCUGCUUGGUCACAGGCUUCCUCCCUGAGGACAUCCAUGUGGAGUGGGAGAGCAGCGGGAAACAAGAGCAGAACUACAAGAACACGCUGCCUGUCGCGGACGCCGACGGGUCUUACUUCAUGUACAGCAAGCUCAACGUGCCAAAGAGCAGGUGGGAUCGAGGAGAUAGCUUCACCUGCUCCGUGUUACACGAGUCUCUGCACAACCACAUCACACAGAAGACCCUCUCCCGAUCUCGGGAGCUAGAACUGGACGACAGCUGUGCUGAGGCCCAGGACGGGGAGCUGGACGGGCUCUGGACGACCAUCACCAUCUUCAUCACCCUCUUCCUGCUCAGCGUGUGCUACAGUGCCACUGUCACACUCUACAAGGUGAAGUGGAUCUUCUCCUCCGUGGUGGAGCUGAAGCAGACACUGGCCCCUGACUACAGGAACAUGAUUGGGCAGGGGGCCUAGGCCACUUCCUCUGGGAUGAUCAGGGUCCUCUUAGGCCCUGCGGAACCCCGUCCAUCCUACUGUGCAGCCUAACAUGGAGGCCACACUGCCCUCUGACAUCGCCAUCCUCUGACUCUACAACUCUCUGAAUCAACACUCUCCAUUGUUGACCCUUUGGAGGAUCAUGUGGACAACAGGCUCUGUCCCAGACCUGGGCAACACCUCCACAACAGUUUCCAGAUAACUAACUGGUCGGGGCAAAAGGACCAUCUCCCUACAAACUGGCACCAGGAGAUCUGAGACCUCAGAACUUUUGCUCAGGAGGACCUGGGAGCCCACAUUGCCUCGGUCCAGCCGUGUGGGGAUCAGCCUUGGAGCUGUCCUUACCUACACCAUCCUCUGAAAGGGGUUUUCCCAGAAAGGGCAAAGUUUUUGAAUCCUUGAAAGGAGACAUCUGCUAGGAAGACCAGGGUCACCACAGCCCGAAGGGAGUUCCAGAAGAGACUUCUGAAAGUCAUUCUGGUAGCCUUUGCGCCAGCUAUACGUGGGCAGCUUCCUUCCUGGCACUUCUGUGAACCCUAGGCCAAGGAAAGGCCUUGUGUCUCUCAAACUGUUGGGACGAGCCUCCUGAAGAUGAGAGUCCUUGUGCAGACCCCUCUUCCUGCUACCCGCUCAACAUGCUGGAUUCUCAGACGCAGGAGCCAACCCACAGACACCGUUGACGACAAAAC
Molecule: non-coding RNA, 2370 nt
Organism: Peromyscus californicus insignis
Lineage: Eukaryota; Metazoa; Chordata; Mammalia; Rodentia; Cricetidae
Source: the annotation of a RefSeq genome assembly